CCUACGGGGGCUGCAGUGGGGAAUAUUGGACAAUGGGCGAAAGCCUGAUCCAGCCAUGCCGCGUGUGUGAAGAAGGCCUUCGGGUUGUAAAGCACUUUCAGUGGGGAAGAAAGCCUUGGGGCUAAUACCCUCGAGGAAGGACAUCACCCACAGAAGAAGCACCGGCUAACUCCGUGCCAGCAGCCGCGGUAAUACGGAGGGUGCGAGCGUUAAUCGGAAUUACUGGGCGUAAAGCGCGCGUAGGCGGUCUGAUAAGCCGGUUGUGAAAGCCCCGGGCUCAACCUGGGAACGGCAUCCGGAACUGUCAGGCUAGAGUGCAGGAGAGGAAGGUAGAAUUCCCGGUGUAGCGGUGAAAUGCGUAGAGAUCGGGAGGAAUACCAGUGGCGAAGGCGGCCUUCUGGACUGACACUGACGCUGAGGUGCGAAAGCGUGGGUAGCAAACAGGAUUAGAUACCCCUGUAGC
RNAcentral lists this ribosomal RNA (463 nucleotides) under Vreelandella stevensii. Its description in RNAcentral is "partial 16S ribosomal RNA". It matches the Rfam family "Bacterial small subunit ribosomal RNA", at positions 338 to 794 of the family's 1533-position model. Lineage: Bacteria; Pseudomonadati; Pseudomonadota; Gammaproteobacteria; Oceanospirillales; Halomonadaceae. The record is from RNAcentral.